Molecule: ribosomal RNA, 894 nt
Filed under: Colletotrichum fragariae
Lineage: Eukaryota; Fungi; Ascomycota; Sordariomycetes; Glomerellales; Glomerellaceae
Also listed under: 1 other name
Description: partial large subunit ribosomal RNA
Rfam family: Eukaryotic large subunit ribosomal RNA
Source: RNAcentral
GCAUAUCAAUAAGCGGAGGAAAAGAAACCAACAGGGAUUGCCUCAGUAACGGCGAGUGAAGCGGCAACAGCUCAAAUUUGAAAUCUGGCCCUAGGCCCGAGUUGUAAUUUGCAGAGGAUGCUUUUGGUGCGGUGCCUUCCAAGUUCCCUAGAACGGGACGCCAGAGAGGGUGAGAGCCCCGUACAGUUGGACACCAAGCCUUUGUAAAGCUCCUUCGACGAGUCGAGUAGUUUGGGAAUGCUGCUCAAAAUGGGAGGUAUAUUUCUUCUAAAGCUAAAUACCGGCCAGAGACCGAUAGCGCACAAGUAGAGUGAUCGAAAGAUGAAAAGCACUUUGAAAAGAGGGUUAAACAGCACGUGAAAUUGUUAAAAGGGAAGCGCUUGUGACCAGACUUGCGUCCGGUGAAUCACCCAGCUCUCGCGGCUGGGGCACUUCGCCGGCUCAGGCCAGCAUCAGCUCGCUGUCGGGGACAAAAGCUUCGGGAACGUAGCUCUCUUCGGGGAGUGUUAUAGCCUGUUGCACAAUACCCUUCGGCGGGCUGAGGUACGCGCUCCGCAAGGAUGCUGGCAUAAUGGUCAUCAGCGACCCGUCUUGAAACACGGACCAAGGAGUCAACCUUAUGUGCGAGUGUUCGGGUGUCAAACCCCUACGCGUAAUGAAAGUGAACGCAGGUGAGAGCUUCGGCGCAUCAUCGACCGAUCCUGAUGUUCUCGGAUGGAUUUGAGUAAGAGCAUAUAGGGUUGGACCCGAAAGAAGGUGAACUAUGCGUGUAUAGGGUGAAGCCAGAGGAAACUCUGGUGGAGGCUCGCAGCGGUUCUGACGUGCAAAUCGAUCGUCAAAUAUGCGCAUGGGGGCGAAAGACUAAUCGAACCUUCUAGUAGCUGGUUUCCGCGA